This 225-nucleotide small RNA is filed under the name Cellulomonas sp. RNAcentral describes it as "c-di-AMP sequence". It matches the Rfam family "c-di-AMP riboswitch aptamer (ydaO/yuaA leader)". Rfam says of the family: This family represents a conserved RNA structure found upstream of the ydaO and yuaA genes in Bacillus subtilis and related genes in other bacteria. Lineage: Bacteria; Bacillati; Actinomycetota; Actinomycetes; Micrococcales; Cellulomonadaceae. RNAcentral also lists the same sequence under 1 other name. The record is from RNAcentral.
UCGAGCGGAACGCCGAACCCUGCCGCCGCUCGCAGGUCCGUACGACUCGCCGGCAGGGGCGGGGGAACCACAUUGCGGGCACCGGUCACACGGUGUCCUUGGGGUGAAGCCGGGCGGACGGUACGGCAGCGUGCACGUGAGUGCAGGCGGUCGUGGCGGCCGACCGGCCGGGUGAUCUCCCACCCGAACCCGACAGCUCACCUCGUAGGCGCCAGGAGAGGCACG